Molecule: non-coding RNA, 101 nt
Organism: Hordeum vulgare subsp. vulgare (domesticated barley)
Lineage: Eukaryota; Viridiplantae; Streptophyta; Magnoliopsida; Poales; Poaceae
Source: Rfam
UUAUUACUGCCUCCGUCCCAAAAUUCUUGUCUUAGUUUUGUCUAGAAAUNNNNUAUCUAGACAAAUAUAAGACAAGAAUUUUGGGACAGAGGGAGUACUUA